AUGGAGCCCCUCCAACGGCUCCUAGAAGUUGCAGUGGACAUAGGGGUGCUCUCCAAGCUUCAGGAUCGGCUGCCGCAGCUGCGUACCUCCCUAUACGCCGAUGAUGUCGCCCUCUUCCUCAACCCCGUGAAGACCGAGCUAGCCGCUCUCCGCUCCAUCCUCGCUGCCUUUGGGUUGGCUUCCGGGCUCAAGGUCAACUUUGAGAAGAGUGUUGUCCUCCCCAUAAGAUGUCAGCAGUUGGACGUGCAUGAUGUGAUCUCACCCUUGAGGGCUAGGGUUGAGAGCUUUCCCUGCAAAUUAUUGGGGUUGCUGCUGUCGCUUUGGACUCUGCGUAAGGUGGACCUGCAGCCACUGCUUGACAAGCUCCGCGCGCGCUUGGCGCGUUGGAAGGCCAGACUCCUCACCCUUGCUGGCAGGCUCGUUCUCCUCAACUCCGUCCUCUCAGCAUUUACCGUCUACUAGUCGGCCGUCUACGCACUACCGCCCUGGGUUCGUAAGGAGCUGGACCGGCUUCGACGUGCCUGGUUAUGGCGCGGGGAGGAUACGUGCCACGGCGGGCACUGCAAGGUCGCGUGGGGUCGUGUAUGCCGCCCGCGUGACCUUGGCAGGCUCGAUGUCGUCGACCUGGAGUGUUUUGAUGUGGCGCUUCGCCUUCGCUGGCUUUGGGCGGAAAGGACCUCGGUCGUUCCCUGGCAUGGGCUACCGGUCCCGGUGACACUCGCGGAGCGGCGCAUGUUCGCGGCAGCCUGGGCGGUCACCAUCGGGGAUGGCAACCGAGCCAGUUUCUGGUAUGAUGGCUGGCUACCUGAGGGGGCGCCGCUCAUGAUCACCCUCGACCUAUUCGUGGUUUCCAGACGCAAGGUGCGCUCCGUGCGUCAAGCACUGUCAGGUGACAGAUGGAUCCAAGACCUCCGCGGCCGGGUCACCACCGACUUGUUGCCUUCCUUCGUGAGGCUAUGGGUGUGUGUCAACUCCAGGCAGCCGCUCACCCCGGACACCGUGAACUCCUUUUGGUGGAGAUUAACGGACAAUGGCGUCUACACGGCAGCUUCCGCGUACAAGCUAUUCUUCAUCGGAUCCACUAUUUUCCCAUUGAGUCAGGAGAUCUGGAAAGCCUAG
Molecule: ribosomal RNA, 1119 nt
Filed under: Triticum aestivum (bread wheat)
Lineage: Eukaryota; Viridiplantae; Streptophyta; Magnoliopsida; Poales; Poaceae
Description: partial small subunit ribosomal RNA
Source: RNAcentral